Molecule: ribosomal RNA, 491 nt
Filed under: uncultured bacterium
Lineage: Bacteria
Description: partial 16S ribosomal RNA
Rfam family: Bacterial small subunit ribosomal RNA
Source: RNAcentral
GAUGAACGCUAGCUACAGGCUUAACACAUGCAAGUCGAGGGGAAACGAUGAGAGAGCUUGCUCUCUUAGUCGUCGACCGGCGCACGGGUGAGUAACGCGUAUCCAACCUGCCUCUGACCAAGGGAUAACCCGUCGAAAGUCGGACUAAUACCUUAUGCAGUCGUCGGAAGUCAUCUGAUGACGACGAAAGAUUUCAUCGUUGAGAGAUGGGGAUGCGUCUGAUUAGCUUGUUGGCGGGGUAACGGCCCACCAAGGCGACGAUCAGUAGGGGUUCUGAGAGGAAGGUCCCCCACAUUGGAACUGAGACACGGUCCAAACUCCUACGGGAGGCAGCAGUGAGGAAUAGUGGUCAAUGGGCGUAAGCCUGAACCAGCCAAGUAGCGUGCAGGAUGACGGCCCUAUGGGUUGUAAACUGCUUUUAUGCGGGGAUAAAGUGAGGGACGUGUCCUUAAUUGAAGGUACCGCAUGAAUAAGGACCGGCUAAUUCCGUG